AUGCCGGAGAACCCUGUCUUCAAGGAUUCGUUUAAUGUGGUCCAUAUUGAUGAAAAGUGGUUUUAUCGUACAAGGAAAACCCAGGGGGUUUAUUUGGGCAUUAACGAGCCGAACCCCGUGAGGCACGCCAGAAACAAGGGACACAUUGAGAAGAUCAUGUUUCUUGCUGCUGUUGCUAGGCCAAGAUAUGAUAUGCAAGGCAAUUGUACUUUUGAUGGUAAAAUUGGAAUUUGGCCCUAUGUUGAGUGGAAACCGGCACAGAGGAGAAGCCCAAACAGGCCUAGAGGAACGUUGGAGCUCAAGCCAUGCGAUAAAGUCGGCAUGGAGAAGAGCCGGGAAUACUUGAUCACGAAGGUGUUGCCGGCAAUCAAGGAGAAGUGGCCGCAAGAGGAUCGGUACAAGCCUAUUUUCAUCCAACGGGACAAUGCCAAGACACAUGUUCGACCAGAUGAUCCGGCGGUGUGUGCGGCAGCUGCUCAAGGUGGUUGGGACAUUAGGGUUGUGAUGCAGCCACCUAAUUCUCCGGACACUAACGCCCUAGAUCUUGGCGUGUUCAACUCUCUUCAGUCCGCGUUUGAGAAGAAGAUGCCAAAGAAUCUUCAAGAUAUUCUUCAAAAAGUGGAUGAGACAUGGAAUGAGCAUGAUGCAGACAAGUCCAACCGUGUGUUCCUUAGCCACCAAGCCGUAAUGCGGGAAAUAAUAAAACACAAGGGUUCCAUAGACUAUGAUCUUCCUCACCUCAAGAAAAAGUCUUUUGGGAGGGGCAAACUACCACGUAGGCUACCUUGUGAUCCCGAAUUUGUAGCCGCGGCACUAGAAUAUGUCAAUUCAGGUUAG
Molecule: ribosomal RNA, 837 nt
Filed under: Triticum aestivum (bread wheat)
Lineage: Eukaryota; Viridiplantae; Streptophyta; Magnoliopsida; Poales; Poaceae
Description: partial small subunit ribosomal RNA
Source: RNAcentral